GACGAACGCUGGCGGCGUGCCUAAUACAUGCAAGUAGAACGCUGAAGGAAGGAGCUUGCUCUUUCCGGAUGAGUUGCGAACGGGUGAGUAACGCGUAGGUAACCUGCCUGGUAGCGGGGGAUAACUAUUGGAAACGAUAGCUAAUACCGCAUAAUAGCAGUUAUUGCAUGAUAACUGUUUGAAAGGUGCAAAUGCAUCACUACCAGAUGGACCUGCGUUGUAUUAGCUAGUUGGUGAGGUAACGGCUCACCAAGGCGACGAUACAUAGCCGACCUGAGAGGGUGAUCGGCCACACUGGGACUGAGACACGGCCCAGACUCCUACGGGAGGCAGCAGUAGGGAAUCUUCGGCAAUGGACGGAAGUCUGACCGAGCAACGCCGCGUGAGUGAAGAAGGUUUUCGGAUCGUAAAGCUCUGUUGUAAGAGAAGAACGAGUGUGAGAGUGGAAAGUUCACACUGUGACGGUAUCUUACCAGAAAGGGACGGCUAACUACGUGCCAGCAGCCGCGGUAAUACGUAGGUCCCGAGCGUUGUCCGGAUUUAUUGGGCGUAAAGCGAGCGCAGGCGGUUAGAUAAGUCUGAAGUUAAAGGCUGUGGCUUAACCAUAGUACGCUUUGGAAACUGGGAGACUUGAGUGCAGAAGAGGAGAGCGGAAUUCCAUGUGUAGCGGUGAAAUGCGUAGAUAUAUGGAGGAACACCAGUGGCGAAGGCGGCUCUCUGGUCUGUAACUGACGCCGAGGCUCGAAAGCGUGGGGAGCAAACAGGAUUAGAUACCCUGGUAGUCCAUGCCGUAAACGUUGGGCACUAGGUGUGGGGGACAUUCCACGUUUUCCGCGCCGUAGCUAACGCAUUAAGUGCCCCGCCUGGGGAGUACGGCCGCAAGGCUAAAACUCAAAGGAAUUGACGGGGGCCCGCACAAGCGGCGGAGCAUGCGGAUUAAUUCGAUGCAACGCGAAGAACCUUACCAAGGCUUGACAUGCAUUAGAUCGCGUCAGAGAUGGCGUUUCCCUUCGGGGCUGGUAUACAGGUGGUGCAUGGUUGUCGUCAGCUCGUGUCGUGAGAUGUUGGGUUAAGUCCCGCAACGAGCGCAACCCUCGUUCUAUGUUGCCAGCACGUGAUGGUGGGGACUCAUAGGAGACUGCCGGGGUCAACUCGGAGGAAGGUGGGGAUGACGUCAAAUCAUCAUGCCCCUUAUGUCUUGGGCCUCACGCAUGCUACAAUGGCCGGUACAGAGGGUUGCGAUACUGUGAGGUGGAGCUAAUCCCUAAAAGCCGGUCUCAGUUCGGAUUGGGGUCUGCAACUCGACCCCAUGAAGUCGGAGUCGCUAGUAAUCGCAGAUCAGCAACGCUGCGGUGAAUACGUUCCCGGGCCUUGUACACACCGCCCGUCAAGUCACGAAAGUUGGUAACACCCGAAGCCGGUGGCCUAACCCUGGUGGGGGGAGCCGUCGAAGGUGGGACUGGCGAUUGGGAC
This 1473-nucleotide ribosomal RNA is filed under the name Synergistota bacterium. RNAcentral's name for it is "bacterial SSU rRNA". It matches the Rfam family "Bacterial small subunit ribosomal RNA". The record is from RNAcentral. RNAcentral also lists the same sequence under 1 other name. Lineage: Bacteria; Thermotogati; Synergistota.